GAAGAAACCAAAGCCCAGAUUAGUUCAAUAAUGCAGGGCCCCACCGGAGACAGAUGGCACAUUCAAAUGAACCUAUUUUAAUAAAGUUUUUUGGCCAGGAGGCAUGUGAGAUCUUAA
Molecule: non-coding RNA, 117 nt
Organism: Odocoileus virginianus texanus
Lineage: Eukaryota; Metazoa; Chordata; Mammalia; Artiodactyla; Cervidae
Source: RefSeq, a predicted model, not a curated record